This 72-nucleotide transfer RNA is filed under the name Camelus bactrianus (Bactrian camel). It matches the Rfam family "tRNA". From Rfam's summary of the family: Transfer RNA (tRNA) molecules are approximately 80 nucleotides in length. Their secondary structure includes four short double-helical elements and three loops (D, anti-codon, and T loops). Lineage: Eukaryota; Metazoa; Chordata; Mammalia; Artiodactyla; Camelidae. The record is from Rfam by way of RNAcentral. RNAcentral also lists the same sequence under 2 other names.
GACGGUAUUGCUCAGCGAUAGAGUGUGUGCCUAGCAUGCACAAGGUCCUGGGUUCAAUCCCCAGUGCCUCCA